GGCAGAAGUGUUUCAUGGCAUGGAAGAGUGCAAAGCGGGGGAAGCAACCAGCAGUAGAUUUUGGAAACCAUAUCUAGAGUACAAGUCUGACUUAUUUCCAACCCUUAAGGGUAGAGUAAUGUUUUGGUCUCUUUCAAUCAAAACAUCAUGCAAAAUGUUCUUUCCUCAUAAGUGUGCAAAGUGGGGGAAGCAACCAGCAGUAGAUAUGAAGAUAUUACAAAUACUUUGGAUCAAGUAACAAUCACAGAACAACAUUCUUGUUUGAUUUGUUUCCUUCAAGACGUAGGAAACCGUAUCAAGAGUACAAGUCUGCUUUAUUUGGGCCUAUGGCUAAAAACUAAAAUGAAGAUAUUGCAUAAACAGAAAUUUUUCUUACGUACAUUAAUGCAAGUUUUACUUAAUGGGAGUAGACAUAGCUCAAGAGCAGCUUUUGUGGUUUAUGAGAGAGAUUUGAGGAAUGAGAACCAGAUUGGUGUUGCCGCAUUCCCUAGAGAUGGUGCCUGUUAAGAAGAUGAUAUUGAUUUCAUAAGGUUUCUAGAUUAUUUGUAAAAGAAGAGGAAGAUCAAUCUCCAAAAAAAAAAAGAAAAACCAUCUGGGAGGUCAAGGAUUUAGUUGAGGAACAAAAUGAGCACGAGCUCUAUACAACCAAUCACAAAGAAAAGUAAGGAAGUCUUAGUCUAUACUUAUUGGAGAAGCAAAGUUGAUGCUGGUGAAAAUCAUUAAGCAAUGAUGCCCCUCAGAUGGUUGUGUCUUACAUUCUGGUGCAAGAUAGCUAAUUGAGAAAGCUCCAUAUGCAGAAUGGCAACAAAGCUUCCUUUCUCUGCUCCCUGAAGCUUUGUCCUUGUUUACAGAGCUCUAUACUCAAUUCAUAGACACAAAAAUGCUUACAGAUGAAGCUUCAAUCAACAUCCUGAAUGUGACUUCCCAUUUCUUUUAGUUGUUUGAAUGUGAAUGACUAAUUAUCAAGUUUGUCAUAAUAAGGACAUGAUUUUUAAAGUACUAAAUUGCCUGUGCUAAGAGGAAAAUUUUAUUUGUAGAAGCAGAUAAUAAAUAUAUACUAAUCAUUUAAAUUGUUCA
This is a long non-coding RNA of Quercus lobata, 1077 nucleotides long. RefSeq lists it as uncharacterized. The record is from RefSeq and is a predicted model, not a curated record. Lineage: Eukaryota; Viridiplantae; Streptophyta; Magnoliopsida; Fagales; Fagaceae. The transcript is spliced from 7 exons.